CCCCAUGAAGGAUGGUGACCCCAUCUGUCCUGCAAACGUUGAGCCGACUUCAUUACAAAAAUACCCCAGGACUGAUGCCAGACCUAAUGAGUAUCUUAGACCACUUGGAAGAAGAAAGGAUAUUUUUGGCUGUGGGUAAUUGAACUUCACUUCAAAUUAGAAUCUAAGCUGUUAUUUUCUCUGUACUGGAUCCAAAUCACUCAAAUUCCUGAAAUCCGUCCAUGAUUGCUCUCUACCUGAUGCCAAAAUGUCCUGAUGAAAAGUGAAAUAUUAAGCCAGCUUUGUGAGUUCUCUGUCCUAAAAUCUAAAGGCUCAGCUCUUUGGCAGGCCAGCUGAAGAGUCAACUGAUGCUCGCACUGUGGAUUGGGAAGUCUCAGAACCAUGCAGAUGUGCUUAGCUGCCGAUGAUACGAUUCUACACAUAAGAGACUCUGAAGACUCCACUGGAAAACUUUUAAAACUCAUAAGCACUUCCAGCAAAAUGGCAAGGAGUGAGCAUGUGUAGGGGCCAAGAAACUAAAAAAGGACCCAUGAGAUAAAGAGGCCUUCAAAGAGAAGAAUGGGAGAACAACACAGCAUGUGUAAUUUGAAAAUGGAUGAGGGACGCCUUUAAUCCCAGCACUCGGGAGGCAGAGGCAGGACCAAACCUAGGGAAUUGUGCCACCCACAGUAGGCUGGUUUUCCCUGUAUCAAUUAACAAUCAAGACAAUCUCCCAUAAACAUGCCUGCAUGACAACCUGAUCCAGAAAAUUCCUCAUGAAGACUCUCUUUCCAGCCACCCGCGAGCAUGUCAAGAGGCAAGCAUGUCGAGAAAAGGAUCGUUAACUGUGCCAAGAUCCUCAGCAGUGUCCCAGCAUCCACCAGGCUCUCCUGCUCCUGAGCAGCCUGGGCUGCCGGUCUGACGGAGCUUUGCAGAACAAAAUCCCCUGUGCCCACCACUGUUUCUGCUCUCCCAGAAACUCUUUCUGAGAAGUUGUAUCUGGGAAGGCUUGGGCUGGGUCAUCCCUGAGUCAUCCUCCCUGGACGCAUAGUUCUCAACAUUCCUAGCACUUGGAAUAAGACAGGGACAAAGCUGGGUAUCUGCCAGAUAUGUAGUACGACCUCCAGGUCCUCCCUAUAACUACCAGCUGUGCUCAGGAGAACAAAGCUAUGACCACGGCAUCUUAGACAUCAUCCAGAGAUGGUUGUGAGGAAAGAAUCCACAACUCAUGACAGUAAAGAUUGAUGCUGUUAUUAGCUCCCA
Peromyscus maniculatus bairdii (prairie deer mouse) is the source of this 1242-nucleotide non-coding RNA. The record is from RefSeq and is a predicted model, not a curated record. Lineage: Eukaryota; Metazoa; Chordata; Mammalia; Rodentia; Cricetidae.